CAUUGACCGGUAUGCCUGGGUUCACCCUGGAGGGUGUGGCUAGUGUCCAUCUUGCAUGUGUCUCUUCAUCCACAUCACAAUGUUAAACAUUCCACAGAGUCAUAGACUUUAGGGUCACAGGUAUGCUGGGGUGGAGGCCUUGGUGCCAUUUUGUCAUUACACAACAGGAUUGGAAUGUCACAGCUAUUGGAACCAGUGGAUAGUGAGGACAAGCUGAUGCUCCCUUAGAGAUAAGGGGGCUGCCUGCCCUGAAGAGAAGCAGGAAAUUCUGCCCAAGUGGAAGGUUUCUGGGGCUCUCCACAAUUGGAAGGCUCUCAUACUGGCUGGAGACUCCAUAGAAGGCACUGGUCAUCGAUGUUGGUGUUGAGGUCUGCCUUCCAGAGACAGAGGAAGGUGUGUUGUCUGCUGGUGUGUCCUAGGGUUCCAAGGACCAGAGAACAGGACUUUCAAAGAAUGGGUCCAGGGGCAGACAAGGAGAGCCAGUAGACUUAAGUUCAUUUUCACCAAUAUGGAUAAUGUGGGAAUUUUACAGGGGUUAUGCAUGUUUAGCAUAGUACUCUUGGUACAUUGUAGGUUCGGAAGGGCCAGUGUCUAAGCAAAGAAAACUGCACACCUAUUGGUUUUGUGCUGGUUGGUAGGAAACAAAAGGGAUAAUUGGAGUGAACUGUCUGUAGGUACCACUUGUGACCCUGUGGCACAAACGUCCAGUGGCUGCAUGCACAUUGAAAUCACCUGUCUCCACCUGAACACCCUUUACCAGUGCUCUCUAGACAAAGCUGGGAAGCAAUUUACUCUAGGGAAGAAACAGUUCACAUUCCAUUAUUAGAAAAGUUACUUGCUUUUGUAACUUUUGCUACAUAUUUUAUUUGUAUCUAAAUGUCUUAGGCAAUCUAAGAACAAAUGUAAAAGUAAAGAUGCAGUAAAAAGGAAUUGCUUGGUGUUCCUGGCCCCCGUGUGUGAACAAAAGCCUUAAACAAAGACAGCUGUAAACAAAGUCCCAUGGGUUAAGCUUCUUUUCUUCUUCUUUUAGCUUUUUGGUUUUUGACUUUUGUAAUUUUCUUUUUUGAUACUUAACAUGUAUGUGCUCUAAAAAAUAAUUAACAUGGAAAUAGAUUGAGAUGUUGCCUUUAAUGUCUUAUGAUAUUUUCAUGACAAUCCAAGCACAAUGUUAAGAACACUUGUAUUAAAGUUCGUGUGAGCAGAAUAAAAA
Rattus norvegicus (Norway rat) is the source of this 1210-nucleotide non-coding RNA. The record is from RefSeq and is a predicted model, not a curated record. Lineage: Eukaryota; Metazoa; Chordata; Mammalia; Rodentia; Muridae.